AGUGAACGCUGGCGGUAGGCCUAACACAUGCAAGUCGAACGGCAGCACAGUAAGAGCUUGCUCUUACGGGUGGCGAGUGGCGGACGGGUGAGGAAUACAUCGGAAUCUACUUUGUCGUGGGGGAUAACGUAGGGAAACUUACGCUAAUACCGCAUACGACCUACGGGUGAAAGCAGGAGAUCUUCGGACCUUGCGCGAUUGAAUGAGCCAAUGUCGGAUUAGCUAGUUGGCGGGGUAAAGGUCCACCAAGGCGACGAUCCGUAGCGGGUCUGAGAGGAUGAUCAGCCACACUGGAACUGAGACACGGUCCAGCAUCCUACGGCAGGCAGCAGUGGGGAAUAUUGGACAAGGGGCGAAAGCUUGAUCAAGCCAGACCGCGUGGGUGAAGAAGGCCUCCGGGUUGUAAAGCCCUUUUGUUGGGAAAGAAAAGCAGCAGGUUAAUACCCCGCUGUUCUGACGGUACCCAAAGAAUAAGCACCGGCUAACUUCGU
This 491-nucleotide ribosomal RNA is filed under the name uncultured bacterium. RNAcentral describes it as "partial 16S ribosomal RNA". It matches the Rfam family "Bacterial small subunit ribosomal RNA", at positions 29 to 506 of the family's 1533-position model. The record is from RNAcentral.